AAAUUUGUUUUCAUGGGUGGUGCAGUAUUCUAGUCAGUGCUACCGGUUCUGAAGGCGGGGCUAAAAAUCCGUCGAAGGGCACAUCGAUGAAGUUCCUGGUACCGGCUGCUGACGCCCAGUCGGGGGUCGGUGCUGGGAGUAAGGAACAGGGGGCGAUCCACAAUGGCAUGUGGGCGAUGACCCUCUCUCCGUGGAGACCUAUAAGCCAAUUGAAUUGUGCUUGUAGGAUAAACCUGCAGUGCGGUUCGGUAUCAUUGGGAGCUGCAUGCAGCGUAGCCUGCCUUGAGUGGGAUAUGGUGGAUAAUAGGUUUCAGGUAUGGAUGCUGAUGGGGCCCACGGCAAUCAUAUUACUGCUAUUCGAAACCUAUGCUGCAAAAGAGGCUAAGGCCCGGUGUGACUGUUGAGGAAAUCUCCUAGACUGUUCUAUUUGAGGCAUACUGAGGAUUACAGUGCGGACUAAGUGGCAAUCUAGUCUUACCUUUGGCGACAGGGUAAAAACGGAAUUGAAGGGAAACCGCUGAUUUGGCGACAGACCAGUAGCCGUUUGGGAAAGCCAACUAGACCUAAGCCGCAAGAUUUACUCAGUGGGCUGCCACCCAUUUAAAAAUCAUA
This is a non-coding RNA of Geosporobacter ferrireducens, 612 nucleotides long. The record is from Rfam. NCBI's taxonomy places the organism in Bacteria, Bacillati, Bacillota, Clostridia, Peptostreptococcales, Thermotaleaceae.